RNAcentral lists this ribosomal RNA (253 nucleotides) under uncultured bacterium. RNAcentral describes it as "partial 16S ribosomal RNA". It matches the Rfam family "Bacterial small subunit ribosomal RNA", at positions 524 to 776 of the family's 1533-position model. RNAcentral also lists the same sequence under 1 other name. The record is from RNAcentral.
GACGAACCGAGCGAACGUUGUUCGGAAUCACUGGGCUUAAAGGGCGCGUAGGCGGGCUGCCGCGUCCGGGGUGAAAGCCCCCCGCUCAACGGGGGAACGGCCUCGGAUACGGGCGAUCUCGAGGGGGGUAGGGGCACCUGGAACUGUGGGUGGAGCGGUGAAAUGCGUUGAUAUCCACAGGAACUCCGGUGGCGAAGGCGAGGUGCUGGACCCCAUCUGACGCUGAGGCGCGAAAGCCAGGGGAGCGAACGGG